Molecule: long non-coding RNA, 484 nt
Filed under: Homo sapiens (human)
Lineage: Eukaryota; Metazoa; Chordata; Mammalia; Primates; Hominidae
Description: non-protein coding lnc-TMEM248-4:3
Source: RNAcentral
CUUCACUACAAUACUAGUUCCCCGUUGCUGCCGCAAUAAAUUACCACACACUUAGUGGCUUAAAACAGCACAGAGGUAUUCCUUUACAUUUCUGAAGGCCAGAAUUCUAAAGUCAGUCCCACUGAGUCAACGUGGGAGCAGGGUCAGUGCCUUCCCAGGCUCUGCGGGAGAAUCUGUUUCCUGGCCCUGGAGGCGGCCUGUACUCCUCAGCUUGUGCUGCCCUUCUCGAAUGACUCGCGUUUCCUGCUUUCAUCACUACACCUCCCACCGCUCUCCAUCACCUGCUCUGCUCUUAUAAGGAUCCAGUUUUCAGAAAAAUGGAAUAGUCGUAUCACUGAUCUACGUAAACAAGUUGAAGAAUUGUCUGAAAGAAAAUACAGUGUGUCUAAACUGGAAAAGUCCUGUAAUAGUUUGUUCAUGAGCAUUUACACAAUGGAGUUGCUGUUUCAUCAUGGGGGUACUGUGGACAAACCCAGGGCUGCUG